UAUCGAUGCACCAAGUUAUUUUCUACGUAGAGAAACUGUGCGAGACAAGGACAAGGGCGAGGCACCGGUCGCCUUUGCUCACACGGACGCCGCGGUGAUCAGAGGCUGCACACGCCCCCGACGCCGGCCGACCAGGAGUUGCCCCACCUCUCCGUCGUCCCUCUCGGCAACAACGCGACUAGGAUGGACAUCUUCCAACCAUGGCUUGUGCGACGGGGAACAUGAGGUUCAUGUCUUGAUUGUUCCUUCUUCCCUGUUGUUUUCCGUGUGAUAACUUGUUUGUCUCAGCGGCGCAUCCCCUCAUCCUGCGGAACACUGUAUACCCGUUACAACACGCCGCCGCCUCCCUAGCCAGUCCCGCUUCCCCCUUCCCCCUUCCUAUUGAGCCCCUGUGGUGGUGGUGGUGGAUGAAAACAUCUCACCUGGAGGUUGGAGAGGGAUGAAUUGGAGAGGGAGGUGGGAAGACGGGGAGGAGGAUGUAGCCAACGACGGCAAUGCCGUUGCCCACCCCGCCGCCCAGAGUCAUCACGGCAGCACCCUGCCCUCCCUCCCUCCAAGCGUCACUGCUACCAUGGUGUGCUCUCCCUCUCACCGGUGCUUCUACAGCGAGACCCUAGUCGAACGACGGUUGGCAUCGUUUAUUGCAUGGCCUUGCAGAUCUACCACACUGUGCUCACCCUCAUAGUCAUUCGUCAUACCACCUCACGGAAUCGUGAGUUUGGCCGCCACAAGCACGCUCGUGCCACCGCAAGGUCCGUAAUAAGAUUGCUACCAGGGAGUAGAAGGGAAGAUAGGCAGAUCAUGAGGGUCUCCCACUCCUCCAUCCCCAGUGGCAGAUUAGCAGUGGAAUCGGUGUACACAUGAGAACCAAGGCAUCUCUGACUAUAAAAGUUGAUGAGUUGUAGCUGAAAAUUCCGAAUUCCUUCUCAUUUAGAAUCUUCAGCUUACGCUCUUCUAAUUUGCAACAAUUUUCCUCAUCUAAUGACACUCGAUUUUUCUUGCAUGACUAUUGACUAGGCUGAUAACAUGUUCAUGAUGAAAAGACUUAAGAGCGCAGCGGCACUCCAAGCUUCAGAAGUUUUUUUCCUUUCCUUCCAGUUGUUCCAAUGGGAUGUACUUAGAAGGAUCGAGAGUACAGUGUCACAUGCUGGAAGCAAGUCAUUUGAAAUUGAAAAGGAAAAUAUAGCACCUCAAGGAGCCAGAAUAAAAUAAAUCGGAGAAUUGGAUGAGCCAAAGACAAGCAUAUUCAGAAAUAGAGAGUUUACCGGGAUUCUGGGAGAAAAUCCACAUGGCAUCAUGAGGAAAGAGGAGUUGAAGUACGGUAUGGGAUACUAAAUAGUGUAAAUUGUACUUCUAUUUUCUUCUUCAAUUGGAUCUUUCUCUAUGGACCAAUUUAUAUCGUAUACUGAAAUCAUGUUAUAUUAAGAAGUAUCAUGAUAGAGUUAGCUUGUCCAAUGAAUCGAUAUGUUUAACAAUGGGAAUUUGGAGGAUUAAUUAGUUGAAUUAAUGUUCUUCUUUUAACCUAUUAGAGAUCAAAUGGAUGAAACAAUAUACUAUUAUCUUUAUUACAUGGCAACAUGAUUCCACGCUGUUCAUUUUUAAUUUACACAUAGAUAUCGCAAGCAUUGUGUAUUUAUUUAAUGUACGUGUUUUCAAACAUUAUUAUUUAUUUUCAUACAUGCGUUGCACGUGUAAGCUUACUAGUGAAACAAAAACAUUCUAUCAGUUUGGUAGGUCUCGGAGGUGGAUAUCGGGGUCCAAAACGGGAAGUUGUGAAUGGUUGGUAGCUCCGUGCGUUUUUCAACGUAGAAGAUUCUGUUUUGGUUUCCGGUUUGAUAUUCCGUCUUUGUUUUUCCUCUCUGCUUUCAUUUUUCACAGAAAAUUCCAAAAGUUUCCGCUCCGCUUUUGGCUCGCACGACUCGGUAAGGUAUUGUUUACUUCUGCAAAAGGAAAGAGUCUCGCUUUGGUUCUUCGAAAGGAGAAGUAAAAUGUGUGAACAGUUCGUCGCUUUGCACCCAAGGUUUACGAGUCGACAAGUCAACUAGUCGUUUCGAGAUUGAGACUCGUAGAGUAAGCGUGACUAAUUAACACUAGUCAACACGGAAGUUGUGAUUCAUCGACUAGUCGACGCUGAAGUGUAGUCGGCCGUGGAAUUGAGACUCAGACUAGUCUGUAGUCUAUAGUCUUGUCUGGUCCUUGGACUC
Molecule: long non-coding RNA, 2204 nt
Organism: Triticum urartu
Lineage: Eukaryota; Viridiplantae; Streptophyta; Magnoliopsida; Poales; Poaceae
Source: RefSeq, a predicted model, not a curated record